RNAcentral lists this ribosomal RNA (252 nucleotides) under uncultured bacterium. RNAcentral describes it as "partial 16S ribosomal RNA". It matches the Rfam family "Bacterial small subunit ribosomal RNA", at positions 524 to 776 of the family's 1533-position model. The record is from RNAcentral.
UACGGGGGGGUAAGCGUUGUUCGGAAUUACUGGGCGUAAAGGGCUCGUAGGCGGCCAACUAAGUCGGACGUGAAAUCCCUCAGCUUAACCGGGGAACUGCCUCUGAUACUGGAUGGCUUGAGAUUGGGAGAGGGAUGCGGAAUUCCAGGUGUAGCGGUGAAAUGCGUAGAUAUCUGGAGGAACACCGGUGGCGAAGGCGGCAUCCUGGACCAACACUGACGCUGAGGAGCGAAAGCCAGGGGAGCAAACGGG